Molecule: long non-coding RNA, 1510 nt
Organism: Tympanuchus pallidicinctus (lesser prairie-chicken)
Lineage: Eukaryota; Metazoa; Chordata; Aves; Galliformes; Phasianidae
Exons: 2
Source: RefSeq, a predicted model, not a curated record
AAAAGUUUAUCAGCCAGGUGGACCAUGGGAGUUGACCAUAAUCAGAAAAUGUUUGCUGGUGAUAGAACAUCUGCCUUCCAUGGACACUAACGUAUAUUUCAGUAGUGCCUGAUUUUAAGUGAGUAAGCCCUGUGUGCUCAGUGUCAGCAUUGUCUUUGACAGGAAAUUAUACCUGUUCAGACAGCAGGCAGAGCAAAGUGUACAUACGUGUUCUGGUGAGUAACUACAAUGAGGAGGACAAAAUAAAGCCCUAAGCUAGAAGUAAGCUGUCAAGGCAAUCAAUUAGUCUGCUUUGGGUUUGAGGGCCUGCACAGAAAGUAGUACAGACUGACAGAUACUUGGGAGAGUGGAAGGCAUCAGUCAGCCUUCACACCAGGGACAUUUUAGCUGGAGUGUGACAGCUAAGAACACUCAUGGGAUUUGUGCUGAACACAUUCAUGCCUGCCCACCCAAGCAUAGGACAGCUUGCUAGUCACAGUCAUGUCCUUCAGUUAUGGCAGGCAUCGCUGUUUUCAGGUGGGGAGAGAAGAAAGAUGGAAUUCAGAAUCCUGGUGGAAGACCCACAUUCCUGCUUCACUAUGGGGACUGAGAAGGAUAUCAGGCCUGUAGCAAACACUCUGCCUGAAGGUACAACCAGCUCAGGUCUGAAUGGCAAAAAAGUACAAGGGGAAGAAGCAUGCACAAAAAGACCAGAAUCUUCCAUUGCAGAGGAAGCCUUCCCCCACCUGCUGGCUUGGCAAGAGGGAGAGAUGCAAUGAACAAUCAAAGAAGAGGGAAAACACAUUUCUGAAAAGGCUUUUAAUUAAUUUUUUUUAAAGGAUUGUGUAUUACAUCCACAUGACACUGACACAUUCAAAUUUGUAUGAUACGACACAUACUUUGAAUAUGUACACAACUGAUAAGCAUAUUAAUGAGCCAAGUUUGACAGGAAAAUAUAUUUCAGUGCUUGGAUUUCUUUGACACAGAAUUCUUCCGUGCUGGAGAUAAUUAGUGCCACCUGCUUUCUCCUUGCUCACGGGAGAAAUUUUUCCCUAUUAUAAAGAUUAGUCAGAGCCAUUAAAAAUCCUGUUUAGUUCAAUUCAACUAGUAAAGAAUAAUACAGAAUAUGGCAAACACCAGACAAAGAGAAAAUCAAAAUAGCAAGUGAUCAGUUUAAGGAAUCUUUUGAAAUUCAUCUUUAUAUUUUGUUUUGAGUGUAAAAUAGUUCAUAGUAAGUAUUCAUUUUGAUGCCUUUUUUUUUACUAUUUUGCUAGACUGUGAAGUGUACCCAGUGUUCACCUCUGAACAGGGAUGAGAAAACCAGCCUGGAAAAUGAUGUUCAUUUACUUGAUGCUACCCACACUGCAUCCAAUCUGAGAGUCUGAACAUCAGCACCCAUGGCAAGUUUUGUUUAACUUCCUUUACAAACUGGAUCCAUGUCUAUUCUUGCAUGCUGGCCCUUUCACAGUACUUACUAGAUGUUACUCAAAGAGUGUGCUAUGCUACAAUAAAAGUGACAUUUAUACAUUAA